GAUGAACGCUGGCGGCGUGCCUAAUACAUGCAAGUCGAGCGAACAGACGAGGAGCUUGCUCCUUUGACGUUAGCGGCGGACGGGUGAGUAACACGUAGGUAACCUACCUAUAAGACUGGGAUAACUUCGGGAAACCGGAGCUAAUACCGGAUAAUAUUUCGAACCGCAUGGUUCGAUAGUGAAAGAUGGCUUUGCUAUCACUUAUAGAUGGACCCGCGCCGUAUUAGCUAGUUGGUAAGGUAACGGCUUACCAAGGCAACGAUACGUAGCCGACCUGAGAGGGUGAUCGGCCACACUGGAACUGAGACACGGUCCAGACUCCUACGGGAGGCAGCAGUAGGGAAUCUUCCGCAAUGGGCGAAAGCCUGACGGAGCAACGCCGCGUGAGUGAUGAAGGUCUUCGGAUCGUAAAACUCUGUUAUUAGGGAAGAACAAACGUGUAAGUAACUGUGCACGUCUUGACGGUACCUAAUCAGAAAGCCACGGCUAACUACGUG
Molecule: ribosomal RNA, 497 nt
Filed under: uncultured bacterium
Lineage: Bacteria
Description: partial 16S ribosomal RNA
Rfam family: Bacterial small subunit ribosomal RNA
Source: RNAcentral